AUGGCUAAUCCUGGAAAAGAGCAUUGGAAAGCAAUUCAGUGGAUUUUCAGAUACCUGCGUGGUACUUCUAAUGCUUACUUACAGUUUGGGAAAACUGGAGAUGGACUUGUUGGUUUUGUUGAUUCUGAUUUUGCUAGUGAUUUGGAUAAGAGAAGAUCACUCACAGGUUAUGUUUUCACCAUUGGUGGUUGUGUUGUGAGUUGGAGAGCAACUUUGCAGUCUAUUGUGGCUUGUUCCACUACUGAUGCCGAGUAUAUGGCUAUUUCUGAGGCAUGCAAAGAAGCUAUCUGGUUGAGAGGUUUGUACACUGAGCUUUGUGGAGAUUCAUCUUGCCCUACCAUAUUUUCUGACAGUCAAAGUGCCAUAUAUCUUACAAAGGAUCCAAUGUAUCAUGAGAGGACAAAUCACAUUGAUGUUAGAUUUCACUAUAUUUGA
This 435-nucleotide ribosomal RNA is filed under the name Triticum aestivum (bread wheat). RNAcentral's name for it is "partial small subunit ribosomal RNA". Lineage: Eukaryota; Viridiplantae; Streptophyta; Magnoliopsida; Poales; Poaceae. The record is from RNAcentral.